AAAUGCACAGUUCUUUCUUUUUUCUUUUCUGCCCUGAAAUUCAAUUUCCGUUAUUUCUUUUUUACUUUUCUGGCACACACAAGCCCUCAACGAAAUCUUUCCCUUUUUUUUUCCUCCACAUAGAAAUUGAAAUGUAAAAAUUUCCGCCCAUCGCCCACAUCACAGUGCAUGCUCUUCACUCUAACGAUUUAGGGUUGGUUUUCUCCUCCUGAAAUAGCAAGUUCUCUUUCUCUCUUUAAUGUCCCAUUAUCUUUCACUAUAAUGAUUUAGGGUUCACUCUAAGUUGUGAUUUAAUGUGAUAUCCGUACGAAAAUUUUGGUGCGAAAUAUUUGUGCAUUGCAAAAAUAGUUGUGCGAAAUCAGUCUCUGCAUUGCGAAAAUAGUUGAUAUCCGAUUUUAAUUCCUCUAAGUUUGAUAUUUGUGCGAUUUUAAUGUGAAUUUCAGCAAUUACAACUCGAAUUGAAGCGUUUUUGUCGGUGAAUCUCCUGACAAAAGGUACAACUCGAAUUGCAGCUCUCUACCCUCUCCUUCCUAAUCUGUUUAUAUCCGAUUUUAAUUCCUCUAGGGUUUUGAAUGUGAUUUCCUAAUAUCUGAAUUUCAGUAUUUUCUGCAUGUCAUUUGAUUUAGGUUUCUCUGCUCCAAUUUCAAUAAUUUUUGCAUGUGAUUUGAUUUAGGUUCUCUCUGCUCCUUUUAUGAUUUUAUUAGCGCGAUGUUUGAGCUUGGUGCUCGAGAAAUCUCUUCAAAGUCAAUGAGUAAAUGUAUUGCUUGUAUAUGGAAUUUUCUGCUAACUUUUCGUACGAGUUUAGAUUUUCCCUAGACAUGGUAGUUUAUUUCUCAUAUUGUAGUAUUACUACUUUUUGUUCAAAAAAUUUUGUAAAAUGUUAGCAAAAGAAUAUAUCUCUUUGAUAUAUAUGGUAGUCUUCUAGCUUGCGACUAUUUAAUUCCUCAAUUUGACCCAUUUAUCUCCGUAGACUACUCCAAAAUGUAAACGAUUAAAGUGAGUUCAAAAGGCAUCAGCUUACAGACGUGCUUAAAGGGAAUGCAGAAACUUAGCAUGUCUAGGUGUAGUUUGUGAGUGUGCUACUUUAUAUCAUGUUGAUUGCAUUGGUAUUUGCAUGAGAUACUUUGUUCUAAUAAUGGCUGUAAAUCAAAGUGGUAAAAGAGUAACUGAUUUUGGAUAGUUGCUACUAAUCUGAUAUUUAUUUCCACUGUGCUGUUUUCAUUUCUCCAUUUUGAAAUAGAGAAAUGCAAGAAUAUUGUGCUUGUGUGUAUUCUGAAAGGAGCAUAUGAUGAUAGAUGUGUUCUUCUUGAAUGUGUUAAUUUAUUUUUUCUAAAGGAUGGACAUGUAUUAUGAGUCUAUGGUCAAAUAUGUCAUGGAUACUCAUGUCUGUCUUCCAAGUAAUCACUUCAGCCUACUAUCUAUUUGUGUAAAAGAUCACACUAAGUUGUCUAUACUUUCUGCUCUCAGCUGCUGAUUUGCUUCUGAUACUUGAUUCCUUAUACCAGAGGAAGAUUCAAAUAUUGCAUUUAAUUGGUAUUGAAGCUUUCACUUCUAGAAAUUUCUUGAGCUUAGUUAAUACAACACAUACCAGUGCAGUUUAAUUGUUGGAUUUCUAUAAAGAAAUUGUAUGUUCUGUUCUCUAAUUUCUGCCAGACCAUUUUCCUCUUUGCGUUUCUGUUAGGCAUGGUUUUGUACCAGACAUGUUGGUGACCGACAUGUUAUUACCAAGUACCUGCCAGUCUAAAUGUUGGUAGAUGUACUUUCAUUUUGAUUUCAACAAAAAAGAUGGACAUAUAUUACGAAUCUAUUUUCAUACAUGUCAUGGACAGUCCUGCCUAUAUGGCUUCGCCCUGCUAUCUAUUGAUUUGAAAAGAUCACCAGACUAAGUUGUCUAGAGUUCCUAGUCUCAACUGUUGACUUGGUGCUAAUACUUGAUUCCUUAUAGCAGGGGAAGAUUCACUUGUUGCAUAUAAUGUAGUGAAGCUUCCUUACAGAAAUUUCAUGAGCAUAAUUAUUAACACGUGUUGCUGCAGUUUUUUCUUAGAUAUCUAUAAAAUGAAUUGUGACUUUUGCCGCAAAAAUUUAAAAGGUGUUGUCAUUGCAAAUUGUUUGUGUGAUUAGGAAGUGGAGUCUUAAAUUUUGGUCUUAGGUGUAGAGGAUCAGAAUGGUUUUUGUGAUACAAGUUUUUAUGUUUGUUAAUUAUCCAAUGUGUUGUGUUUAGACCUCAGUCAAAAACCUGUAUCUCAGAAUUCUUGUGGAUAUCAUUGAAUAUAUUCUCAUUGUUGUUCAUGCUAGAUAACUAGCUAACUUUACAUUCCCUUUUACUUAACUUAUAAAAUUAUAAAGUAUGUCUUCGAUCUUAUAAAAUUGACAAGUUACUAAAUUAUUUUUCCUCAUGAAAAUCUUGUAGGUUAUAUCAAACUCUCUUGAGUAGAAGAGUACUGGUGGCAUACUAACCUGAUUUUGGGUCAUUAGCUGCAUUUUUCAAAGGCUAUAAGAUCUUUUCAAAUACUUUUUCAAUGGAUAAAUCUUGGAUUCUAUUGCCAAGGAACACAAAUGAAUACAAGAGAUCAAUCAAGUGUAUAAAGAUAGUAAAGCAACUCUGAAUUUUAAAUAAAGAAUGAUUCCAGUGCUGGUUUUCACAUGUUACAACCUAUUUAGGAAUGCUCUUAGUAAAUCUUUACUUUGGUUAGAGAAGUACCACACUAGAAAGAUAUGUCCUUCAUUUAGGAUCUUGAAUGAAACUUAGUUUGUGUGUUCACUUGAUGAGAAUUGCUAUCAGUUGCUACCUCGUCGCCUUCUUUGUUUUCUGGUAAUUCCUUUGGGAUGAUAAGUUGUCAUUGUGUAUCUUAUAUUCAGGAAACAAUUGAGCUAGUUGAAAGCCAAAGUGCCACAAAUGAGUCUGAACUCUGAAGUUUCACCAAAUGAUGUUAUUGGUAAGGUACUAGGAAAAGAGCAUUAUUGAAGGGUAAGGUGCUUGGGGUUAGGAGCUAUCCCGGUAAAGUUUUUAGACAAACAAGACGUCAUUUUGGAGGUAUAAAUUCUUCCAGUUGUGAUAAUGGUUCAUGUUCGUCCAAAUGCAAAGAGAAGUACAAUAAGAUUGUAAAUGCUCACAAUCAAAGCCAAGAGAAGUACAAUCAGAUUGUAAAUGCUCACAAUCAAAUCCAAGAGAACUAUGCUCAAAUGAUGACUACCCACCUCCAAAUGAUGAAUGCUCUCAAGACAUAUAUGAUUAUGAAAGAAGGGACAAUACCUGAACAGUUUGCUAGGAUUUUUAUUUCUCCUCCUCCGGCAGCGAUAAAUAAAAUCUAGCUAUAUGUAGUUUUUUAAUUUGAAAAACUAAAGAAAAAAAUAUUAAAUGCUUUUUAUUUCUUUGCAGCCAAGUGAUGCAGCUAGCGGAUCCAUGGGCAUAAGACGAUAAGACGAUCAUCUAUUUAUAGUAACCUUAAUGAAAAUUAUUGAAUUUCUUUGCAAAUGUAAUAGAUGAUUAAGUAUGACAUUUUACUUGAACGGUUGAACUAGAUAUUUUGUGUUUAAGUUUAGUUUUUGAGAUUUAUCGCAAUAUUAUCUACUUAUGCUUCUAUAAUAUGUGGAUGUUAUUUAACA
RNAcentral lists this long non-coding RNA (3606 nucleotides) under Nicotiana benthamiana. RNAcentral's name for it is "long non-coding RNA (NBEN_LNC023912)". Lineage: Eukaryota; Viridiplantae; Streptophyta; Magnoliopsida; Solanales; Solanaceae. The record is from RNAcentral.